Long non-coding RNA from Nerophis ophidion (straightnose pipefish), 8999 nucleotides. RefSeq lists it as uncharacterized. The transcript has 6 exons. Lineage: Eukaryota; Metazoa; Chordata; Actinopteri; Syngnathiformes; Syngnathidae. The record is from RefSeq and is a predicted model, not a curated record.
AAAAAGAGCACAAGACAUUGCGGGUGGACAUGACGAAAUCUGAGAAAAACAACCAUUUAUGCGAAAGUGGAACUGUCUUAAGAGCUUCACAGAAGAAAUUCAGAAGGAUGAAGUGACCUCCGCACUCUGCAUGACUCACUGAGAAAGGACUACGCGCUUCAGAAGAUCUUUAGUCUUCCCUUCCGCAGGAGGAGUGCAGUGAAUUGAUUUCGGACCUGGCUUAUCUAAACUGACAAAGACUGUGGACUCUGGGCUACUUUUGGAUUUAAACUCCUUCUUCUUCUUUGCUUUGCCAUCUUUGUUUUUGCAGGUAAGCUUCUGAAUGACCAUACUCAUAAGGCGCAAACAGACAUCCAACCCUCCUAGUCUAAAGAACUGCCUCUGGAACAAAGGGUUGGCCAGGUAGACGCACCGACACACCGACCAAACAUCUGCGGCCCGUCGUACUUGCUCUUUGGAUGGCAGGGUCACGCUGUCUGGGGACAGGUAAGCCAGCCGCCCGCCCAGAGGCUCACUGGCUGUACUGUCGUACCCUGAAGUGUCCUCAGAGUCAUUAGCUGAGUCCCGGUCAGAAUCAGCCUCUUUGCUAACACACAGGAAAGCAACACAGAGGAAAAGGUUAAUGACAUGGAGGUGGGUCUCUGCUUGGCUCCGCCCUGCUCCUCGUCCCUGCCCACUACGACUCUUAUGACGUGGAUAUCCCUCUUUUAGCCCCUCAUAGAACUUGCUAAGGCUCUGCGGGCCUUCUCCAGAUCCUCUUGACCCUGGAUCCUCAGCCAGGUUCGAGAUUGUCUGCUUCUGUUCGGCAACUGCAAUCUCCAGCUCCUGGAGGACGUUGUCCGCUUCCUGGCGUCCAAAACUGGUUAUUAGAGUCUCAAAUACCUUCAAAGCUAGAGAGCACGUCUGGUCAAGGUACACCAGUUCUGUCAUUUGGUUGAGCCCAUUGCAGCUGAUGAAGAGAUCUCGGAUCACCCUAUGAGAGAAAUAAUUUGGAUUACAAACUUUGUGAUUAAUUCACAAAGAAGCAAAUAAGUAAAAAUACAGCUGGACUGGCACAAUUUACAUGAAGACUAACACCUGUUUAUAACGGAACAAAAUAUAGUACAAGAAUGGACCAAUCCACGCAAUUUGUCAAGACCAGGUCCAUCAUUUAUAAAACUGUGUGAAUUCGUACAUAAAACAUUGCGUAAGCAAACACCUCUGACUGUACGUGCCUCCCCCAAAAAAUGAUCUUCAAAAUUGAUGAAUCAUCUUGAGCACACAGGCAUACACUCCUCCCAUAAAUCACUCCUGCAGUGAAAUGGGCGCAGAAAAGUUCCAACCUCGGUGUUCUCUCAUAAUCAUUCAUAAAUUGUCACGCAAAACAUGGUGAUGAGUUAAAGGGGAACUGCACUUUCUUUUUUAUUUUGCCUCUUGUUUAAAAUCAGUAUGAAAGACAUGACGACGGAUGGAUUUUUUAAAAUGCAUUCUAAGUAUUAAAUACACGUAAAUAAAAGUACGUUAAUGGGAGCUCCACUACUCCACCCAUAAAAUCUGAUAACUAACCAUCCAAAAAGCGCCAACAAUACUCAAUUUACAUUUCAUGAUUUGAAUAUUAACCAAGUGUUAGUGACAUUGUUAUCAUAAGAACUAAUGCAGACAAAUUAUUUAUAGUGUUGACGUUAUUACUUCUGUGUGUACCAAUGUUUACAUCAUUGAGUGGUCUGCUGUUUCCGCGCUUCCCUGCUCCCUGUAAGUUUAUUUCAGAUCAUAAAUCUUACCUCUCACCUGAAAAGUAGAUGGGUGAGAAUGUAAUUCGACAAGUUGGGACAGUUUGAUAACCAUUUAGGACCUGGAACUGGCGAAAAAGACAUGAAAAGCAGUUGUUCCCCCGCUUCCCCACUUUGUUUCUUGGUGAGGAGUGUGAGACAUUUUUCAUUUAAACCGGAAUAUAUGAACAAUGUAGCAGUCAGCAUCCUAAUGACAAAAUACCUUGUAUGAUAAGUGAUGUUUUAUUAAGUUUAUUGACUCUUACAAAAGUCUGCAGAGAGCAGAAAUCAGUGAUGAAGAAAAAAAAAGUGAACGUUCUGAUGCGUUUUUUAAAUUAAUGCGCCGCAUAUGCUUAAAAUGAUCAAAAUCCGUAAAUAUUAAAUGUUGAUGUAAAUGUGCCUGCUACUACAUUAAAUAUAUACUUACAUCAUGUCAAUAAAACCCUAACAGAGUUUUAGGGGCUCUGUAGGCAGAAUUGAACGGCUCCAUUGUAAGCUGACUUUUGAGCAUAUUGAUUUAAUAUUUGAAUGCAUUAAAUAAAAUCUAACCGUCGUAAUAUUCCUCAUAAUGAUUGUGAACAAUAGGCAAAAUGCCCCCCAAAAAGUUCCUCUUUAAAGGACUACCUAUUGGACUAUAAAAAGAAAAGCGUGUGUCAGUGUAGUGUAGUGUCAGCUCCAUCGUCCGAUGGAAAUAUGUUCAUGUUUUAGCCUGUUGUUUGCCAUGUAUUUAUCCAAAUAAUAUAUAUAUAUGUAUAUAUAUAUGUAUAUAUAAAUAUAUAUAUGUCUUUAUUUUGUCAAGUAAUACAAAGCAGAUAUUCUGUUCCAUGACACAAUGAUUAAUAUUUUAAGCUCUUGUGAGCAGUUAGCACGCAAGUAAGAUGAUUUCAAUAUAUUAUCAGCACAAUAAAUGUGUUUUUUGAACAGUUAUUUAUUUUCUACAAAUAUUUGACUUGUAAUAACAUUUUAGUGGUUGCAUGAAAUCCAAAUAUUUGUACUCCAACAGUAUUGUAAACUCCCAAAGUCUGACAUAUUAAAACAUGAUUUUUAUCUGAUGGACAAGCAGUAAAAAACGGAUGGAUGGAAAUAUUGUACCAUACUACAAUUCAUAUUUCCAUCCAUCCAUUUUCUACCGCUUGACCCUUUUUCGGUCGCGGGCGGUGCUGUUUGAAGAAGAGGAAAAAAAAACAAAAAGAAAAAAAAGCCACUGGUUCUUUGAAACACAGUCAAAGAACCUCCUGACCUAUGUAUUUAUGUUUUAUCAUUUAAUUAAAAAUAAUCAAAAUAAACAAUACUUCAAUGACAAACUACAUUAUAAAUACAUGUCAAAUAUAACUAACUUAAUACAGCUUCAUACUUAGAUUGUUAUGGUUGCAAUAAAUAAUAUACCAAUUUUUCUAGAAUUGCAUAAAUGCUUAUAUAUUGUGAAAUAUAUAGUAUGUAUUUUAUAGUGCAUAUGUGUUUUUAUGCGAGUAUGAGCUUUAUUAUUUUGGUGUACAAUUGGGCCUUGCUUAUUCCCAUGGCAGAAAAAGUUUAGGUGAGUUCUAAGCAUAUAUGUUUUCUAUAAAUACCAACAUACUGUAUGUGGUGAAAGUUAUUUAUGUACAUUUACAAAAGAGCAUUAGUAUCUGUGCAAUGCGCAGUGGCUUGUGAUCUCUGUGAUUGAAAGCUCCUGUUUAACUCAGUUCAUUUAGUAAUGAUGCAGUUUAAUUCUAAAAGAUAUUGUAUAUUUUUUGUUAACUAUCUUACUUUCCUCUGGAUUAUUGCAUUAUUGAUGCUAAUGUGAUACCACACUAAAGAGAAUAAAUGUUUUAAACAGAUUACAUAUCCCAAAACCAGUGAAAUUGGCACGUUGCGUAAAUCAUAAAUAGAAACAGAAUACAAUGAUUUACAAAUCCUUUUCAACCUAUAUUCAAUUGAAUACACUGCAAAGACAAGACACUUAACGUUCGAACUGGUAAACUUUGAUAUUUUUUGCAAAUAUUAGCUCAUUUGGAAUUUGAUGCCUGCAAAACGUUUCAAAAAAGCUGGCACAAGUGGCAAAACAGACUGACAAAGUUGAGGAAUGCUGAUCAAACACUUAUUUGGAACAUCCCUUAGGUGAAAAAGCUAAUAUGGAAUAGGUAGGUGACAUAAUUGGGUAUAAAAGCAGCUUCCAUGAAAUGCUCAGUCAUUCACAAACAAGGAUGAAGCGAGGGUAAAGUUUACCCCUUUGUAAACAAAUGUGUGAGCAAAUUGUCAACAGUUUAAGAACAUUUCUCAACGAGCUAUUGCAAGGAAUUUAGGGAUUUCACCAUGUACGGUCAAAAGAUUCAGAGAAUCUGGAGAAAUCACUACACGUAAGCAGCAAGGCUGAAAAUCAACAUUGAAUGCCCGUGAUCUUUGAGCCCUCAGGCGGUACUGCAUCAAAAACUGUCAUCAGUGUGUAAAGGAUAUCAUCACAUGGGCUAAGGAACACUUUAGAAAACCACUGCCAGUAACUACAGUUUGUUACUACAUCGGUAAGUGCAAAUUAUAAAACGCUACUGUGCAAAGCGAAAGCCAUUUAUCAACAACACCCAUAAACGCCGCUGGCUUCGCUGGGCCUGAGCUCUUCAAAGAUGCUAAAUGGUAAGUGGGUUGUACUUGUAUAGCACUUUUUCAUCUAAGAUGAACUGAUGCAAAGUGGAAAAGUGUUCUGUGGUCUGACGAGUCCAAAUUUCAAAUUGUUUUUGGAAACUGUGGACGUUGUGUCCUCCGGACCAUUGGGAAAAAGAAUCAUCCGGACGGUUAUAGGCGCAAAGUUCAAAAGCCAGCAUCUGUGAUUGUAUUGGGGGUGUAUUAGUGCCCAAGGCAUGGGUAACUUACACAUCUGUGAAGGCACCAUUAAUACUAAAAGGUACGUACAGGUUUUGGAACAACAUAUGUUGCCAUCCAAGCAACGUUUUUUGCUUAUUUCAGCAAGACAAUGCCAAGCCACAUUCUGCACGUGUUACAACAGCGUAGCUUUGUAGUAAAAGAGUGCAGGCACUAGACUGGCCUUCCUACAGUCCAGACCUGUCUCCAAUUGAAAAUGUGUGGCGCAUUAUGACUGUUGAAAAACAUAAGCUGUACAUCAAGCAAGAAUGGGAAAGAAUUCCACCUGUAAUGCUUCAAAAAUUGGUCUCCUAAGUUCCCAAAUGUUUACUGAGUGUUGUUAAAAGGAAAGGCCAUGUAACACAGUGGUAAAAAUGCUCUGUGGCAACUUUUUUGCAAUGUGUUGCUGUCAUUAAAUUCUAAGUUAAUGACUUGCAAAAAAAAAAUAUCUUGUCUUUACAGUGUAUUCAAUUAAAUAUAAGUUGAAACAAAUGUGCUAAUAAUUGUAUUCUGUUUUUAUUUACGAUUUAGACAAUGUGCCAUGUGUAAACCAGAUUCCUUUAUGAAAAGGAACUUACCCGAGUCACAACUUUCUCAGCCAAAGAAGUGCAUUAAAAUUAUUUUAUUAAACUAAAGAAAAGCCUCCUCUGAUGCUUCACUACUGUACGUGCUACAUAAUGCAAGCCAUCCAUAGUCAGGUCACCUGCGAGUCACAAAGCCAUGGUAAAUUAUUAAUUUGCAUCAAUUAGCAAUGACACAGUUGAACCGAUCUAAUGACAAUCCAAGCAGAUUCAAGGAGUAGGCUGAUAUGUAAUCUACGUGUGAUAAAGAGAAAGAUGACCCCAAAAAGGAAUAAGAGGAUGGAUGGAUGUAUGUAUCGGUCAAAUGCAAAACAGAAAAAUAGGGAAGCACCUGGUGAAGUUUUAGUCUUCAAGUAGAUUAUCAUUAAUUUGAUGGAAUAGAAUGGAUCAUCAAAACGCUAUAAGCUAAAUAUAUUAUUUAAAUCAAACUUAACACCCCAAAGUAGUGGAAAUAAAAUUAUAUAGACAACAACAACUGUGAGCUUACCUCGAUUUAAGGAGGGCAGGUAAUGCUUGCAGGUAUAUGAGUAACACCUCCACAGGUAGGCACUGAGUGUGAUAGCUACAGACUUGGGUACAAACUGUAGAAACCCCAAGCUGCAGUGCAUGGUGGGCUAGCUCUACCCCUCGCUGCAGCACAGGACUGAAGAUGUGUGUGUACAGCUGCCACUGCACUACGGCAUUGCCGCGCAGUGUCAGGUGGCACACAUGACCAGCUACCUGCUGGCUCAGCUGUCGGUCCUCUCCAAACACUAGUUUUUGGUAAGCCUCAAGGGCAUCCCACUUCCACAACAUGUCCUCUGCGCCCCCUCCACUCGGUAGAAUCCCCUGGGAACGGUAGCACAGGCUAGUAGAAAGACCUGAAGGUUCCCCAUGCUGUAGUGUCUCCUCCAGAAUUGGCAACUGACUCUGGUCCAGAGAGCAAAUGUUACACGAAGCAAGCUUCGCUCUCUCUGAAGGCUGUCCCCCACCAAGCUGUUCUAGAAUCAGUCUACCCAGAACACUGAGAACAUGAGACUGGUAACUUCGCAGAUCUGGAGCUUGGAAGGCAUCCAACAGUGGUCUUAUCACGGAACGAGGGUCCAUGCAACAGCAGAUACCAACAGCCUGCACCCCGGCCAGCACCUGCAACACAGCUGGUCCACUUGGCGACAAGCGUUGCAGAAGCCGUAGACAUUGGUGAGCGCAGGCUGCCAGGCAGCAGCAGCGCUCAGGGUAACACACUGCAUCACCCUCCAUGCCUUCUUUCCCUUCAGUGUCCUCUUCGAAAGGGUUGCGCCAGGCAACCUUCUUAAAAGCAGAAGCAGGCAAACCUGACAGAUCUCUGUGAUGAUGCAGGAAGUGGGAAUAUUCACAGCGACGGUGACGACGUCGGGCACACACAGACUGAUGCAGCUGCUCCGACUUUGCUUUCUUGACUGCACUGAUGAUCUUGAAGACCCCUGCAACUAAACCUCGUAGCCUUUCUGAAGCCUCACCUCCUAUUUCCGAAUCCCGAGCCCUACCAAGUUCCUCUAAUCGCAGCACUGUAGCUUCAAACAGCUCCAGACCACGGUGUUGGACAAAUUCAUGGAUGAGAUCUAGUGCUUGGCUAAAGAAAAAGGGGUUGGGAGUGGAGGCCUGCAGGCAACUCAGAAGAACUUGCAGUACCCCUUCUAGAAGCUCAGGCAGCAAUAGUGCUCUGUGACGAAAACGUGAAAAAGAGAAAUCAUCUUGGACUUCCUGUAGGGUCUUUUUUGGUCGAGGAGCAAAUGGGUUUGUCUGUCUGUCAAGGCAGCUUCGGAUCUUCAGUGUUGCACGAAGCAGAUCGGUUAGGCUGCGUCUGAGGCUAUCAGGAAGCUUUUCACUUUGACUGACAUCAACUGACAUCAGGUGCAAGAUGGUGCGUAGAAGCAUCCUCUGGACCAGUGCAAUGGGCUCUUCUGUCCAGCCCCCAGCAAGCUCCUCCACGCCUGUACCACCACUGCUUCCUGGACCACAACAAUCUCCAAACUCAGUCAGGAUCUCAGUAAGAGUUGGUACAACACUGACUGCCAGGCUGGGAUUGUGAUUUAUGCUCAUGUCAAACUUACACACUUUUUCCAGUAACGAAAGUAAGACAUAACAUAGAUCAAAGGGUGAGUUCUCCAUGCGGUUAAAAAUGGACAUGGCAGCUGGGUCUGUUAAGGUUUCAGUGUCCAUUGUCUGUGAUCCAUGGACCCUGGGAUGAGGGUAUGGUGCACUCAUGGUUUCAGUGGUUGCUGUGGCCGUUAAUUGUGUAGUGUCUAAACGAUGAUGUUGACAAUUUACCCGGAUGGUAGAGCCAUGGGACCUUCUACUCCUUGAGCCACCUGGGCCUGAUUUGUCUUCAGUGUUGGCUUCGGAAUCUGAGGUACCGCUGCCAACACGUGGCCUCUUUCCAGAUUCCUGGUCAUCUACACCAGUCUUCUGUCCUGCUCUGAGAGGCACGGCCUUAACCUCCCGGCUGAGGAACACUUCCAAUAGAGACGGCAGGGUGAAAUCUGUUGACGUAAAACAUAUUGUUAUUGGGAUCUUCCAAACCAGAGGGAGUAGCGACAGCAGCAAAGUGAGCAGUUCCUCUCGGCAAGUCAACUCCUUCGAGUGCAAGAAAACACACUAAGCGCAAAUUCCAUUAAAUUGGAAUUUCAAAUGGAGGCUUUCCAGAUUCGCAGCAGAUCAGCGUAUCACAUGAAAGAAAGCAUGUGAUGUCACAUGGCAAGGGGACCGGCCUUGGGAAUACUGACGAGCCUCCAGUGACCCACAGAGGACCUCUGUAACAGGCCAUUACUCACAAAAACUGCAUUUGUAAUUCCCCACUAUGAAUGUCUAGGCCAUGAGCUAUACAGUGAUGCAAAAAGUACUACAUUCUACACUAAGACCAAGACUAAAAUCGUAUUAUAUGUCUGCUUAUUGUAAAUGUUUCAUUAUUUCUCAGUUAGUCAGCCUGUAUACAUUAUUAGGCGCCGUACUUACUAUUAUUGAGGCUCAUUGACUUUGGCCUGAACACAAUAAAUUGGCAUUGCUUUUCUAUUGUUACAUACAGUAGAACUAUGUGCAAUUUUUUCCACAUUCUGUGCAUAUAGGUGAUGUGCAUCACCUUGGACGUAUCCUCGCUCAUCCAUGCGGACUGGACACUGGCCGAGAGUGGAGUCGGCUGUCUUGGUUGCUUUUUGGAUCUGCUUCUGUCUCUGGCCAUGCUCCCUCCUCCCCAGCGGACGAUGGCGUGGAACACCGCAGAGGCCACCACAGUGGAUAUGUUUCUUUUACUUUUUAUUCAUAGCUGUAUGUAAAAGUGUCUGGUUGUAUCUGCUGCUUUAAUGUCUUUAAUAUCCUUUGUGUUCUUUGAUGUUUGAUGUUUCCCUCUUACACACAUGGAAGAGGGAUGUGUACUAUGGCUAUGAGUUGUUCUUUUCCCUUGGCCUCAGUCUGCACCCCCAUUCCAGGGCCUAGGCUAAGACCGAUUUUUUUUUUAUUUUUUUUUUUUUUUUCCAUCCAUCCAUCCAUCAUCUUCCGCCUAUCCGAGGUCGGGUCGCGGGGGCAGCAGCCUAAGCAGGGAAGCCCAGACUUCCCUAUCUCCAGCCACUUCGUCUAGCUCUUCCCGGGGGAUCCCGAGGCGUUCCCAGGCCAGCCGGGAGACAUAGUCUUCCCAACGUGUCCUGGGUCUUCCCCGUGGCCUCCUACCAGCUGGAGGGGCGCUGGAAGCCGGCAGACCCGUCAGCGAUCCUGUUCUGUCUCCCUGUAAUGUUUGUCUGAUCUUGAAUGGGAUUGUGCUGAAAAUUGUAAUUUUCCUGAAGGAACUCUCCUGACGGAAUAAAUAAAGUACUAUCUAAUCAUCUAA